RNAcentral lists this ribosomal RNA (451 nucleotides) under uncultured bacterium. RNAcentral's name for it is "partial 16S ribosomal RNA". It matches the Rfam family "Bacterial small subunit ribosomal RNA", at positions 30 to 523 of the family's 1533-position model. The record is from RNAcentral.
AUUGAACGCUGGCGGCAGGCUUAACACAUGCAAGUCGAGCGGGCAUCUUCGGGUGUCAGCGGCGGACGGGUGAGUAACGCGUGGGAACGUGCCUUCUGGUUCGGAAUAACUCAGGGAAACUUGAGCUAAUACCGGAUACGCCCUUUUGGGGAAAGGUUUACUGCCGGAAGAUCGGCCCGCGUCUGAUUAGCUAGUUGGUGGGGUAACGGCCUACCAAGGCGACGAUCAGUAGCUGGUCUGAGAGGAUGAUCAGCCACACUGGGACUGAGACACGGCCCAGACUCCUACGGGAGGCAGCAGUGGGGAAUAUUGGGCAAUGGGCGCAAGCCUGAUCCAGCCAUGCCGCGUGAGUGAUGAAGGCCUUAGGGUUGUAAAGCUCUUUUAUCCGGGACGAUAAUGACGGUACCGGAGGAAUAAGCCCCGGCUAACUUCGUGCCAGCCGCCGCGGUAA